CACCAAAGAAUGAAGGGGUACUUAACACCCAAGUUGAAGCUCCAUUGAUAUCAAUAAUUAAUGGUCCGGUGGAACAAAUAAAACGACCACCAUCGACACCUGAAAGUGAAGAAACUAUAGACAUUCCAAUUGAAGCUCCUCAGACGAUACCAGGUCCAAUCGAACAAAAAGACUCACCAACAUUAAUAUCACGACAUAGAGGGAUACAUAACAACCCAGUUGAAGCUCCUUCUUCAAUAGAUUUUAUUCUUCCAUUAAACAAAACAAGACAACCAUCAUCAACACCUGAAUGGGAAGAAACUAUAGACAUUCCAAUUGAAACUCCUUUGGUGGCACCAAUUCAAAUUGAAAGAAAACAUUCGCCAAUACCAACACCAAAGAAUGGAGGGACACUUAACACCAAAGUUGAAGCUCCAUUAAUAUCAGCAAUUACUGGUCCAAUGAAGCAAAUAAAACGACCACCAUCGAUACCUGAACGUGAAGAAACUAUAGACAUUCCAAUUGAAUCUCCUCAAAUGACGCCAAGUCCAAUCGAACAAAAACAUAUACCAUCAUCAACACCACAACAUGG
This 571-nucleotide long non-coding RNA is filed under the name Zostera marina. Its description in RNAcentral is "long non-coding RNA (ZMAR_LNC004437)". Lineage: Eukaryota; Viridiplantae; Streptophyta; Magnoliopsida; Alismatales; Zosteraceae. The record is from RNAcentral.